ACGCCUAACACAUGCAAGUCGAACGCAGUAGCAAUACUGAGUGGCAAACGGGUGAGUAUAAUGUGGGAAUCUGCCUUUUGGUUUGGAAUAACACGGGGAAACUUGUGCUAAUACCGGAUAAGCCCUUACGGGGAAAGUUUUAACGCCGAAAGAUGAGCCUGCACUUGAUUAGCUAGUUGGUAAGGUAAAAGCUUACCAAGGCAACGAUCAAUAGCUGUUCUUAGAGGAAGACCAGCCACAUUGGGACUGAGACACGGCCCAGACUCCUACGGGAGGCAGCAGUGGGGAAUCUUGCACAAUGGGGGAAACCCUGAUGCAGCGAUGCCGCGUGAGUGAAGAAGGCCCUUGGGUUGUAAAACUCUUUCGUCGGGGAAGAAAAUGACUGUACCCGAAUAAGAAGGUCCGGCUAACUUCGUGCCAGCAGCCGCGGUAAUACGAAGGGACCUAGCGUAGUUCGGAAUUACUGGGCUUAAAGAGCUCGUAGGUGGUUAAAAAAGUUGAUGGUGAAAUCCCAAGGCUCAACCUUGGAACUGCCAUCAAAACUUUUUAGCUAGAGUGUGAUAGAGGUAAGUGGAAUUUCUAGUGUAGAGGUGAAAUUCGUAGAUAUUAGAAAGAACACCAAAUGCGAAGGCAACUUACUGGGUCACUACUGACACUGAGGAGCGAAAGCAUGGGUAGCGAAGAGGAUUAGAUACCCUCGUAGUCCAUGCCGUAAACGAUGUGUGCUAGACGUUGGAAAUAUAUUUUUCAGUGUCGCAGCGAAAGCAUUAAGCACACCGCCUGGGGAGUACGACC
Molecule: ribosomal RNA, 795 nt
Filed under: uncultured Pelagibacteraceae bacterium
Lineage: Bacteria; Pseudomonadati; Pseudomonadota; Alphaproteobacteria; Candidatus Pelagibacterales; Candidatus Pelagibacteraceae
Description: bacterial SSU rRNA
Rfam family: Bacterial small subunit ribosomal RNA
Source: RNAcentral